GGAGGUACAUUUGUGACUAAAGGAAAACUCUCAAAUUAAAGAAAUUUGACAUGAUAUACUGAAACUUUCUUAUAAUCAAUUAAACGACUGCUUUUCUUAGAUAUGUGAUUUUUCAUGGUCAAACAUUUUCAUUGUUAAGGAGGCUCGAGGGUAUAAAAAUGUCAGAAAAAAAUUAAACAUUUGUUUUUCAUUACAAAUUUUAUCUAUUACCUUUUGUAGUUGUUACUUUAUCAUAUGGUACAAAAAACAUUCAAAACAAUUAAUUCGUGUUGGCCCCAGAUGACUUUUAAAAUGUAAACAUCAUUGAAAAAGUUCCAAAUUAUCUCCCUUUGGUGGAAAAAUUACAUUUUUUGGCUUUAAAAUUGAAAUAUCUCUUUUAACUCAUCGGUGACCUAUAUUUUUUAAUAUAAUUUCGAUAUAUGCUGUACUUAAACUAAAUUAUUGUAAAAUUUGAGCAAUUUCUGUAAUAAAUUUCUUUUUUUAUUUCGAUAUUACCUUUAUUUCUCCUAUUAGUUCAACAGAAAAAAAAAACACUUUUACAAAGAUGAAUGCUUCUUUCGAAGGCAGAUUGUGAGUGCAAAUGAACGGUGACCCCA
This 596-nucleotide long non-coding RNA is filed under the name Mytilus galloprovincialis (Mediterranean mussel). Lineage: Eukaryota; Metazoa; Mollusca; Bivalvia; Mytilida; Mytilidae. The record is from RNAcentral.